RNAcentral lists this ribosomal RNA (254 nucleotides) under uncultured bacterium. Its description in RNAcentral is "partial 16S ribosomal RNA". It matches the Rfam family "Bacterial small subunit ribosomal RNA", at positions 524 to 776 of the family's 1533-position model. The record is from RNAcentral.
UACGGAGGGAGCAAACGUUGUUCGGAUUUACUGGGCGUAAAGGGCGCGUAGGCGGCCACCGCAAGUCGACUGUGAAAUCUCCGGGCUUAACCCGGAAAGGUCAGCCGAUACUGCGGGGCUAGAGUGCAGAAGGGGCAACUGGAAUUCUCGGUGUAGCGGUGAAAUGCGUAGAUAUCGAGAGGAACACCUGCGGCGAAGGCGGGUUGCUGGGCUGACACUGACGCUGAGGCGCGAAAGCUAGGGGAGCGAACGGG